Molecule: ribosomal RNA, 471 nt
Filed under: uncultured bacterium
Lineage: Bacteria
Description: partial 16S ribosomal RNA
Rfam family: Bacterial small subunit ribosomal RNA
Source: RNAcentral
GAUGAGCGCUGGCGGCGUGCCUAAUACAUGCAAGUCGAGCGGUAACAGGGAGAGCUUGCUCUCCGCUGACGAGCGGCGGACGGCUGAGUAACACGUAGGAAUGUACCCCAAAGUGAGGGAUAACUGCUCGAAAGAGUAGCUAAUACCGCAUGUGAUCCACGGAUUAAAGCUUUAUGCGCUUUGGGAACAGCCUGCGUCCGAUUAGCUAGUUGGUAGUGUAAUGGACUACCAAGGCGAUGAUCGGUAGCUGGUCUGAGAGGAUGAUCAGCCAGACUGGGACUGAGACACGGCCCAGACUCCUACGGGAGGUAGCAGUGGGGAAUAUUGCACAAUGGGCGCAAGCCUGAUGCAGCAACGCCGCGUGAGGGAUGAAGGCCUUCGGGUUGUAAACCUCUUUUAGCAGGGAAGAAGCGAAAGUGACGGUACCUGCAGAAAAAGCACCGGCUAACUACGUGCCAGCCGCCGCAGUAA